AUUGAACGCUGGCGGCAGGCUUAACACAUGCAAGUCGAGCGGGGGAAGGUAGCUUGCUACCGGACCUAGCGGCGGACGGGUGAGUAAUGCUUAGGAAUCUGCCUAUUAGUGGGGGACAACAUCUCGAAAGGGAUGCUAAUACCGCAUACGUCCUACGGGAGAAAGCAGGGGAUCUUCGGACCUUGCGCUAAUAGAUGGGCCUAGGUCGGAUUAGCUAGUUGGUGGGGUAAAGGCCUACCAAGGCGACGAUCUGUAGCGGGUCUGAGAGGAUGAUCCGCCACACUGGGACUGAGACACGGCCCAGACUCCUACGGGAGGCAGCAGUGGGGAAUAUUGGACAAUGGGGGGAACCCUGAUCCAGCCAUGCCGCGUGUGUGAAGAAGGCCUUAUGGUUGUAAAGCACUUUAAGCGAGGAGGAGGCUACUCUAGUUAAUACCUAGGGAUAGUGGACGUUACUCGCAGAAUAAGCACCGGCUAACUCUGUGCCAGCCGCCGCCGUAA
This 501-nucleotide ribosomal RNA is filed under the name uncultured bacterium. RNAcentral's name for it is "partial 16S ribosomal RNA". It matches the Rfam family "Bacterial small subunit ribosomal RNA", at positions 30 to 523 of the family's 1533-position model. The record is from RNAcentral.